This 315-nucleotide ribosomal RNA is filed under the name uncultured eukaryote. Its description in RNAcentral is "partial 18S ribosomal RNA". It matches the Rfam family "Eukaryotic small subunit ribosomal RNA", at positions 1470 to 1796 of the family's 1831-position model. The record is from RNAcentral.
CCCUUAGACGUUCUGGGCCGCACGCGCGCUACACUGACCGGUGCAACAAGCAUCCGUCCUUGGCCGACAGGCCCGGGCAAUCUUUGAACGCCGGUCGUGAUGGGGAUAGACUUUUGCAAUUUUUGGUCUUCAACGAGGAAUUCCUAGUAAACGCAAGUCAUCAACUUGCAUUGAUUACGUCCCUGCCCUUUGUACACACCGCCCGUCGCACCUACCGAUUGAAUGGUCCGGUGAAGCCUCCGGAUUGGCGCGCACCCCGGUGCCGCCGAGAAGUUGGCUAAACCUUACCAUUUAGAGGAAGGUGAAGUCGUAACA